Molecule: transfer RNA, 73 nt
Filed under: Capra hircus (goat)
Lineage: Eukaryota; Metazoa; Chordata; Mammalia; Artiodactyla; Bovidae
Also listed under: 1 other name
Rfam family: tRNA
About the family: Transfer RNA (tRNA) molecules are approximately 80 nucleotides in length. Their secondary structure includes four short double-helical elements and three loops (D, anti-codon, and T loops).
Source: Rfam by way of RNAcentral
UCCCUGGUGGUUCAGUGGUUAAAAUGCCAUGCUUCCAAUGCAGGGGGCAUGGGUUCAAACCCUGGUCAGGGAA